AAGCAAUUAUAAAUGUUUGAUUUGAAAUCAAUACUAAAAGUAUUAUUACUUGUUGUUUU
Molecule: transfer RNA, 59 nt
Filed under: Mytella strigata
Lineage: Eukaryota; Metazoa; Mollusca; Bivalvia; Mytilida; Mytilidae
Description: Musculus strigatus tRNA-Ser
Source: RNAcentral